RNAcentral lists this long non-coding RNA (710 nucleotides) under Capsella grandiflora. Its description in RNAcentral is "long non-coding RNA (CGRA_LNC000774)". Lineage: Eukaryota; Viridiplantae; Streptophyta; Magnoliopsida; Brassicales; Brassicaceae. The record is from RNAcentral.
UAAAGAUGAGUCUAGCCAUUCAGAUUUUACAAAGAGUGGUAAAAAUAACGCGGAUUAGACUCUGAAUGUAUGAUCCAUUACAUGAUUACCAACCUCCUAAGUGAGAUAUAACAAGUCAAGAUUAAGUUCAAAUAAGCAAGGUUAAGCUCAAAUCAUCCAAAUUUCGAAGUGAGGGAUUAUACGAGUGAUCUAGUCAUGAAUUUUCCUGAAGUCCCAAGUUAUCCUUAAACAAUGCUAAAUAGUCCCAAGGCAAUGAAAUCAAGCAAGGUGCAAUUCCCUAAGAAAAGCUCAUAGUUCCCAUACAGCAUUUUGACUCAAUAAAAACAGACACAAUUUGACUCGAUAAAACAAACUAACAGACUCAAGAAAACAUCAAAAUGAAACAUAAGAAAAGCAAACUGCAUCAGUAGACUAAUGACACCUCCCCCAGACUUAUUUCACACCGUCUCGGUGUGAGAAUAAAUCCAAAAGAAGCGUCGGACUGACUCAAAGAGAAGCAAAAUAAAGAAAAGAAAAAAAAUGGUCUAUAACAAGGAAAAUAGAGAGUGUUACGCUGCUCAGUGCUGACGUGGUGUACUCUCACUAGAGCUGUGAGCCUGGCCUGGCUCCCUCCUACUUCUGCUAAGACGUGCAGCAGUACCACUCGGGCCAGUAGUAUCCUGACUAUGCUUGCGGCGGUUCUCCUGUCCAAUGGCUAGCCCAGGUGUGGU